CCGAGUUUACAACUCCCGAACCCCAAUGUGAACGUUACCAAACUGUUGCCUCGGCGGGAUUUCUGCCCCGGGCGCGUCGCAGCCCCGGACCAAGGCGCCCGCCGGAGGACCAAACCUUACAAACUCUUUUUGUAUGUCCCUCUGCGGACUCUUUACAUUUCUGAGCUUUCUCGGCGCUCCUAGCGAGCGUUUCGAAAAUGAAUCA
This 205-nucleotide unclassified non-coding RNA is filed under the name soil metagenome. Its description in RNAcentral is "partial internal transcribed spacer 1". The record is from RNAcentral.